RNAcentral lists this ribosomal RNA (468 nucleotides) under uncultured bacterium. RNAcentral's name for it is "partial 16S ribosomal RNA". It matches the Rfam family "Bacterial small subunit ribosomal RNA", at positions 28 to 507 of the family's 1533-position model. The record is from RNAcentral.
GACGAACGUUGGCGGCGUGCUUAACACAUGCAAGUCGAACGGAAAGGCCCUGCUUUUGUGGGGUGCUCGAGUGGCGAACGGGUGAGUAACACGUGAGUAACCUGCCCUUGACUUUGGGAUAACUUCAGGAAACUGGGGCUAAUACCGGAUAGGAGCUCCUGCUGCAUGGUGGGGGUUGGAAAGUUUCGGCGGCUGGGGAUGGACUCGCGGCUUAUCAGCUUGUUGGUGGGGUAGUGGCUUACCAAGGCUUUGACGGGUAGCCGGCCUGAGAGGGUGACCGGCCACAUUGGGACUGAGAUACGGCCCAGACUCCUACGGGAGGCAGCAGUGGGGAAUAUUGCACAAUGGGCGGAAGCCUGAUGCAGCAACGCCGCGUGCGGGAUGACGGCCUUCGGGUUGUAAACCGCUUUCGCCUGUGACGAAGCGUGAGUGACGGUAAUGGGUAAAGAAGCACCGGCUAACUACGUG